Molecule: ribosomal RNA, 450 nt
Filed under: uncultured bacterium
Lineage: Bacteria
Description: partial 16S ribosomal RNA
Rfam family: Bacterial small subunit ribosomal RNA
Source: RNAcentral
GCCAGACUCCUACGGGAGGCAGCAGUGGGGAAUAUUGGGCAAUGGGCGCAAGCCUGACCCAGCAACGCCGCGUGAAGGAAGAAGGCUUUCGGGUUGUAAACUUCUUUUGUCAGGGACGAAGCAAGUGACGGUACCUGACGAAUAAGCCACGGCUAACUACGUGCCAGCAGCCGCGGUAAUACGUAGGUGGCAAGCGUUAUCCGGAUUUACUGGGUGUAAAGGGCGUGUAGGCGGGACUGCAAGUCAGAUGUGAAAACCACGGGCUCAACCUGUGGCCUGCAUUUGAAACUGUAGUUCUUGAGUACUGGAGAGGCAGACGGAAUUCCUAGUGUAGCGGUGAAAUGCGUAGAUAUUAGGAGGAACACCAGUGGCGAAGGCGGCUUACUGGACGGCAACUGACGCUGAGGCUCGAAAGCGUGGGGAGCAAACAGGAUUAGAUACCCGUGUAGC